AGUGAACGCUGGCGGUAGGCCUAACACAUGCAAGUCGAACGGCAGCACAGUAAGAGCUUGCUCUUACGGGUGGCGAGUGGCGGACGGGUGAGGAAUACAUCGGAAUCUACUUUUUCGUGGGGGAUAACGUAGGGAAACUUACGCUAAUACCGCAUACGCCCUACGGGUGAAAGCAGGGGAUCUUCGGACCUUGCGCGAUUGAAUGAGCCGAUGUCGGAUUAGCUAGUUGGCGGGGUAAAGGCCCACCAAGGCGACGAUCCGUAGCUGGUCUGAGAGGAUGAUCAGCCACACUGGAACUGAGACACGGUCCAGACUCCUACGGGAGGCAGCAGUGGGGAAUAUUGGCCAAUGGGCGCAAGCCUGAUCCAGCCAUACCGCGUGGGUGAAGAAGGCCUUCGGGUUGUAAAGCCCUUUUGUUGGGAAAGAAAAGCAGCAGGUUAAUACCCCGCUGUUCUGACGGUACCCAAAGAAUAAGCACCGGCUAACUUCGUG
RNAcentral lists this ribosomal RNA (492 nucleotides) under uncultured bacterium. RNAcentral's name for it is "partial 16S ribosomal RNA". It matches the Rfam family "Bacterial small subunit ribosomal RNA", at positions 29 to 507 of the family's 1533-position model. The record is from RNAcentral.